Molecule: ribosomal RNA, 1044 nt
Filed under: Triticum aestivum (bread wheat)
Lineage: Eukaryota; Viridiplantae; Streptophyta; Magnoliopsida; Poales; Poaceae
Description: partial small subunit ribosomal RNA
Source: RNAcentral
AUGCCGCCGUCCCUCCUACUCCCCGCCUCCGCCUCCGCCUCCGCCUCCGCCUCCUCCUCCUCUGGUAUUAGUAUGGGGAGGCUGUCACCUCGGCAGCCGCCCACGCCCCUGCUCGUCUGCUUCCCCGCGCGCCGCAGCCGCAACCGCCUCCAUGCGGAUGUGGGGCUCCGCCUCGCCGCCGCCGGACCCAACGGCGUCAACGGUGCGGCCUCUCCCGGUCCAGGGGACGGCGGCGCCAACAACCUGCCCAAAAACCGGAGGGAUAUUCUCCUGGAAUACGUAAAAGGCGUCCAGCCAGAGUUUAUGGAGCUUUUCGUGAAAAGAGCCCCAACACAGGUUGUCGAUGCCAUGCGCCAUACAGUCACAAAUAUGAUUGGGACUCUGCCACCUCAAUUUUUUGCUGUAACCGUCACAACGGUUGCUGAAAAUCUGGCACAGCUUAUGUACAGCGUUUUGAUGACUGGAUACAUGUUCAGGAAUGCACAGUAUCGUCUGGAACUGCAACAGAGCCUGGAGCAGAUUGCUCUUCCUGAACCCAAAGGAGAAAAGGGCUCAGAAGAUUAUGCUCCUGGAACCCAGAAAAAGGUGAGUGGGGAAGUGAUCCGAUGGAACAAGACCACUGGACCAGAAAAGAUUGACGCUGUGAAAUAUAUAGAAUUGCUUGAAGCAGAAAUCGAUGAGCUGAGCCGUCAAGUUGCUAGGAAAUCAUCUCAAGGAAGCAAUGAGCUCCUGGAAUACCUAAAAACCCUAGAACCUCAAAAUCUAAAGGAACUGGCGAGUAGUGCGGGUGAGGACGUUGUAUUUGCAAUGAACGCAUUCAUAAAGCGUCUCUUGGCUGUCUCGGACCCUGCGCAGAUGAAGACGGCGGUUUCGGAGACGAGCGGUGCCCAGCUGGCGAACCUGCUGUUCUGGCUGAUGAUCGUCGGGUACAGCAUGCGCAACAUUGAGGUGCGUUUCGACAUGGAGAGAGUGCUGGGCGCCGCCCCCAAGAUGGGCGGAGAGCUGCCGCCUGGUCCUGGAGACAACACACAGACACAACUAUAG